AGUGAACGCUGGCGGCAGGCCUAAUACAUGCAAGUCGAACGGCAGCACAGCAGAGCUUGCUCUGUGGGUGGCGAGUGGCGGACGGGUGAGGAAUACGUGGGAAUCUGCCCAGUCGUGGGGGAUAACGUAGGGAAACUUACGCUAAUACCGCAUGCGCCCUUCGGGGGAAGGCCGGGGACCUUCGGGCCUGGCGCGAUUGGAUGAGCCCACGUCGGAUUAGCUAGUUGGCGGGGUAAAGGCCCACCAAGGCGACGAUCCGUAGCUGGUCUGAGAGGAUGAUCAGCCACACUGGAACUGAGACACGGUCCAGACUCCUACGGGAGGCAGCAGUAGGGAAUAUUGGACAAUGGGCGCAAGCCUGAUCCAGCCAUGCCGCGUGAGUGAAGAAGGCCCUCGGGUUGUAAAGCUCUUUUGUCCGGAAAGAAAGCGACCGGGUUAAUACCCUGGUGUCCUGACGGUACCGGAAGAUAAGCACCGGCUAACUUCGUAGCCAGCAGCCGCGGUAA
RNAcentral lists this ribosomal RNA (506 nucleotides) under uncultured bacterium. RNAcentral's name for it is "bacterial SSU rRNA". It matches the Rfam family "Bacterial small subunit ribosomal RNA", at positions 29 to 523 of the family's 1533-position model. The record is from RNAcentral.